Selaginella moellendorffii is the source of this 3920-nucleotide RNA transcript. RefSeq lists it as uncharacterized. The record is from RefSeq and is a predicted model, not a curated record. The transcript has 10 exons. NCBI's taxonomy places the organism in Eukaryota, Viridiplantae, Streptophyta, Lycopodiopsida, Selaginellales, Selaginellaceae.
UUGCCGCGACAGCGCUAGGGCCAGGGACUAGGGCUUUUGGGGGAGAAGAAGAGGCCUCCUCCUCCUCCUCCUCCUCCUCCUUCUUCCAGGGCGGGGGGAUGCUGAUCAAUGCCGCAUGGCGCAGGAUUUUGAAUCGGAAAUUGGUACGUUCUAGUCGCCGAUUCUUCUUCGCCGCUGCGCCGGGCGCUUGCCCGAUCGCGCGCCUUGGAAUUCGCGGCCUGCCGGUCCCCGAGGCAUCAGGCAUUGGCGGCCGCUCGUCGCUACGGCUAGUGGCAGUCCAGCGCCUCGCCGAGAAGGCGGAUUCCAAUGGAUCGAGCAAGGGUAAGGACGAGAGCAGCAGCAGCUUUAGUCUAUCCAAGCCAUCGCCAGGGAAUGCGAUCGAAGAGGGUUUUGAGGAGCUUCACGCAAAGGAGAAGAGAGGCUUUGGUGGUGGACUGCGGUAUCUUUCAGUCGGGGUAGGCUUCGCAGCGCUGUUCUUCGGGGCGGGGAUGGUGGUGAGAGAAGAGAAAGAGCCCCCCAUCUCUCUGGCCUCGCUCGAGAAAGCUGCCCGGGAUAUUGGCAGGCUCGUCAUCUCGACGCUGGAGACUCUGUCCAGUCGGAUCAGCAGCACCAUGGGAGAAGUGAUCGACGCUGGAGCUACUGCUCUUGUUCUUCUCCAGGGAUUAAAGUCGGUGUUGGAAUCGUAUGGAGAGGGAGUGACCAAAGGAUGGUGGAGAGCGAAGGUGGCGGCGUUCAUAGCGGACGUCUCCGCUGCUGGGGGCGACAGGAGAAAAGCAGUGGUUUGUGCCAGCGAUGGAGUUGUGGUGGAUUGGCUGCUCGAGACCGCCGCCAAGAGCCAAGGUCCCGGCUCCACUGUGACUCAAGGGGAGGCUGCAAGGGCCCUGUCGUAUCUCCUCGAGGACGAAGCGACCUGUGAGAGUGUCCUGGCUCGUCCACACGCGCUACCAAAUCUCUUGCGCUUUGCUGCCUCUCUUCCAGCUAACUUUCGACCCAAGACGUCCAAACAUCGGAGAAAGCUCGCGGAUAUUGGAAGCUCUAGAGGAAAGAGCCAGCUAGUUGCAGCCAUCAUGGAAAUCGUCACGGAAAGCUGCGAGCCAGUCGAGAACCAUGAGUUUAGACCUUCGCUUCCAGGGAGUGCUGAUCCUGCGGACAUAGCGGCAGCUUUGGCUGCUGUAGAAGAAGGCGGACUGAAGCUAGAUGAUGACUCCAGAGACGACGACAGAGGCAGCAUUCACGGCAUUGGAAUGAAGCUCAGUGGCACUACGGGGAUAGUUGCAGUGCAGAGGCUGGAACACGACUUCCAUCAGAGGUGGUGGACGAAGAUGAAAGAUAGUCUGUCCUUUUUUAGCGAUAAGAACUCGCUAGCGCUUUCGUUGGUGGACAAAGAUCCAGACAAGGACCUAGUUGGCUAUGGUCUCUGGGACGACUUGCAAGGAAGGCUUGUAGCAGUUCCUCUGGCCGCAUGGGCUUUAGCAACGUGGGCAGAGUCUUCGGCUGCGAAUCGGAAUCAUAUUUCGAGGCUCGACAAGGAUGGUCAGGCGUUGCUGGCCGCGGUUUUGGCUCCGGAAAGAACUGUUAAGUGGCACGGUGCGCGGACAAUGCAUUUGCUUCUCGACAACAAGAAGGUUACUUCGGACGAGGUAGUCUCGACAUGGAGCUCCGCAUUAUUGGAUAUGGCAGUGCAGGCUUGCGGCCACCGCGACUCAACACUCGCGGAGUCGGCUUUUUCGGCAUUUACUGCCUGCUUCAAGGAAGGAAGGCCGUCGCAAAUGAGCACCUUUGAAAAGGGUUUUCCUGCCAUCCGGGAGCUUGCUAGGCAGACUAAGGAAGAGGCUGCUAUCCAAAAAUCGAUCGCCAGGACGCUUGACACAGCCAUGCAAAAUGGACUCUGCUUGGGGCCCGAUGAAAGUAAGAGGUGGUCGGGAAUCCUCCUCCGUUGGUUGUCCAGCUCUCAGCCAGACACAGAACUUCAGAGGUCCGCCACCUCUAUCUUUGGGAAGGUGAUUGACUCGCUGGGAACGGACGGUAUUCCGGCUUGCCAAGCGCUGUUGGCUUCUUUGCUACUGGGACUUAUCAAACACGGGAAGUCUCCUGCUGCCAUUCGGAAGGAAGCCAAAGCUAAAGGUCUACUACAGUCUCAAUUGAUGCAGACGGCGGUUCAAGCUGCGACUCAGCUAGGAAAGAUGGUUUCGGUCGAGGCGAGAGCAGACGUUGCAAUAUCCGAGUUUGCAGGUGAGUUGCCUCUCGCGGACUUACUUGGAGCAGAUAUUGUUCCCAACGUGCCACUUCCGAAAAAUGGUGCUAAGGAGCUGCCACCCAAGUUUACUGUCGUCGAAGCGGCUCACGCGGUCAUCAAGGCUCUCAAAGCUCUAGCAGAUAUUUCGGCCGAAGACGCAUCGUAUCAAAAGAGAAUCAUCGAAGCUGGAGGACUCAUUCUACUCAGAAGGUUGAUGCUAGCAGAUGACUACGAGCAGUGGUGUUUUCUGGAUGCCUCCUCGGAGAAGGAUUGGAGACUACAGGCUUUGAAAGACAAGGAGGCUGCAGAGGUGUCGGAGCUGGCUUCACACAUGAGAAAGCAUGCUGCACGGCUGCUUACCGUCCUAACUCAGCAUCCGGAAGUCACACAGGCUGUUGCUGAUGACAACGAGUGGUGUUCAUGGCUAGGAGACUGUGCUGAUGGCGUCGUCCCGGGCUGCAAUGACCUCAAGUCUCGAAGCUAUGCACAGAUGACGCUACUCAACGUCGCACACUCGAGAAUCCAGAAGACGCUGAAGGGAUUUGGGAGGGACCUGGUUGAUGGAGUAUGGCCACGAUACGAGGACAUGGUAUUCUUGCUAAACUUCGACUCCAAGUUUUGGAAAAGCGAAGGAGUCGCCAAAUCGGCAGCGGAAGCUCUGAGUCCAGACGGUUCCGCGCAAGAAGUUGCUGCCGAGCGUCCGAGCUCUCCUGCUUCCGGCGAUCUGUCGUCUCCUCUUUUGGACGUGGUUUUCAUUCACGGACUUGCUGGUGGACCGAUCAAAACGUGGCGUGUAGCUGUGGACAAAACCUCGACGACAGGAAAGGGUGGCCUUGUGGAGAAAAUUGACGAGCAAGCGGGGAGGGAAGGGACUUGUUGGCCGUCAGAAUGGCUGUCACAUGAUCUACCUAGAACCCGGUUGCUCAGUCUCAAGUACAAGACGAACUUUUCCGAGUGGUCGGGAGCAACGCUUCCGCUCGAGGAAAUUAGCUCGGCGCUUCUCGACAAGCUGCUAGCAGCCGGUGUAGGAGAGCGCCCCGUGGUCUUUAUCUCCCACAGUAUGGGAGGUUUGGUUGUAAAGCAAAUGCUCGCACAAGCUGCGAAGGACAAGUCACGAGCUCAUCUCGUCGAUAAGGCUGCUGGCGUUGUUCGUGUUUUAUAGUUGUCCACACUUUGGAAGCAGAUUGGCAGACAUGCCAUGGCGAAUGGGCUACGUUCUACGUCCGGCGCCUUCGGUUGCGGAGCUGAGAAGCGGGUCUCCCAGACUGGAGGAGCUCAAUCGCUGCAUCCGCAAUCUACACUACAGAGGGACGCUCCAAGUUCUAAGUUUCAGCGAAACAAAGGUGACGCCGCUGGUAGAAGGCUAUGGAGGAUGGGCCUUGCGCAUGGAAGUGGUACCAAUCGAGUCUGCUUAUCCUGGUUUUGGAGAAUUGGUGGUGUUGGAUGGAACCGAUCACGUCAAUUCCUGCAAGCCUUUGAGCCCUUCAGAUCCCGCCUACACCAAAACUCUGGAGUUUUUGCGAAGAAUCCAGGUGAAGAUAGUGGAAGACUCGAGGAAAAAGAAGGAACAAUAGCAACAACUGUAUAUAACGCAACCUCUCGAGAAGGAAAAAAGAAUUUUGUAAUAACUGGCCUGGAAGUUUUGUUGGCUAUCUCGACCAAAAUGUUACACCGAACUCCUGUA